Molecule: long non-coding RNA, 720 nt
Filed under: Panax ginseng (ginseng)
Lineage: Eukaryota; Viridiplantae; Streptophyta; Magnoliopsida; Apiales; Araliaceae
Description: long non-coding RNA (PGIN_LNC012498)
Source: RNAcentral
ACACAGAGUACACCACGGAGAUGGUCAAAUGUAUAUGUAUAUAGAGAAAAUAUUAACUAGUAACUGUAAAUCAAGGGUUUUAAGAUUUGAAAUAUUGAAAACAAUAGGCCUAGGGUUUUGUUUAGAUCGAAAAUAAGAACAAUUCAAUCGUAAUAGAUCUAGGGUUUCUGUUAAAACAAAAAUGUAAGAACAUUUUGAAAACUUAAUAGACCUAGGGUUUUAUCCGAUCCGAACAGUUGGAAAAUAAUAGAUUAAGGGUUUUGUUUGUUUUAAAUUAUAAUAACAGAUUGAGCACAUAGACACAAUAGAUCUAAACGAACACAUAGACACAACAGAUCUAGUCGAACACAUACAAGUGCUCAAAAAGUAAGCAGAUCUAGGGUUUUGUUUGAUCAAAAAUAUUUUUAACCCAAUUUUUUUUUUGUAGACUCAGAAACUUAAAAAACAGAGCAACAUUCAAAGAUAAAACAAUGAAAAUGAAGAUCAUGGGAUUUACAGAAGCUCAAAAGACAGUCUCAAAAAAAUGACACAAAUAACAUCAAAAAAAAAAAAAUCGGUUGAUAAGAUGAAAUUGAUGAUGGAGAAUCAUUUAAUCGGAGUGAAAUUUCCAAAAAAACACAUGAGAUCUAACGAUUUGAGCUAAGAAUUUUCUAGGGUUUGAACGAGUUUAGAGAGAGAAGAGAAUAGAUUGGCAGAUGAGAGAGAAAGAAAUGAGAAAAA